ACCACUGAAAAUAACCAAGAUACUUCCAUCAUAUUAAGCUUCAAAGAUCGACCUGUUUCUCAAUCUCUUCUCAGGAAAAAAAACAACACUGGACUACUUUCACUGGUUAAUUUAUUCGACUUAGCUACAGCAAAACAAUAAAGGCACAAGAAUUACCUCAACUUGUAUAACAUUUAAUACAGCAGCAUCUGUUGGGGUGCUUGUUUAAAAGGUUAGUCUUCUGCUAAAAUCUUUCCUUACAAGUUUUCAUCUUCUUGAGUAUCAUCUGCACUUAAAAGAUGAUUAAGUUUGAUUCUUUGCCUUUUUUGUUCGGAUGAGGCUUCCUUAGUAUCAUUACUUUCUUCACCCUUCCUCUUAUUCGAAUUUCCAUUGUCCUGUUCUUCCUUAUCUUCCACAACAGAAGCUUCUCCACUGGCAGUCUCCAGCUUAUCUGGCAAUGAUGGUUUAGGAUUGGAUUCUUCAGCUUCCUCUUUUGCAUUCACAUUUCCCUUUUUAGAUGACUGCUCACUUUCUUCCAGAAACAAGCGGAUUUCUUCCCUGCUUGCAAGAUCAAGAGGGGUCUUUCCUGCUUUUGUCUUAACGGCAAGACUUGCACCUUUCUUUACCAAGUACUUGACUAGCUCAAGAUUAGAACCUUGAGCAGCAUAAUGAAGUGGAGUUAGGCCCUUUCUGGUCGAAGUUUUGAUAGAGACCCCAGAGGAAAGCAGAGUCCGGACAACUUCCAAAUGACCCUUUUGGGCAGCAAAAUGAAUUGCACCCAUGUCAUCCAUAGCAGCAGCGCCAACAUCAGCCUUGUUUUUGCAUAGGUAAUUCACCACAUGUGCAUGCCCUGACCAAGCUGCUAAAUGCAAUGGAGUCCUGGAAUGCUUAUCUCUGGAGUUAACUGCCAGAGGGUUUGAGUUGAGAAUUGACUGAACCGCAUUCAAGUCACCGGACCUUGCCGCUGCAUGAAGGUCUACUUCGCCACCGCCUCCUCCUGCUGUUGCCCUUGGCCCUCUUCCCAUUAUCUCUUCCUUUUUCGCUUUGAUUUGCUACUCCUGCGUCGCGGUUUCGGAAGAUCUUUAGGAUUGGCUCAG
RNAcentral lists this unclassified non-coding RNA (1076 nucleotides) under Hevea brasiliensis (rubber tree). The record is from RNAcentral. Lineage: Eukaryota; Viridiplantae; Streptophyta; Magnoliopsida; Malpighiales; Euphorbiaceae.